GUAAUCUACCCAUUACUGGAAGAUAGCCCGGAGAAAUUCGGAUUAAUACUCCAUAACACUAUAACAUGGCAUCAUGAAGUAGUUAAAGAUUUAUCGGUAAUGGAAGAGCAUGCGGCUGAUUAGCUAGUUGGUGAGGUAACGGCUCACCAAGGCAACGAUCAGUAGGGGACCUGAGAGGGUGAUCC
This 185-nucleotide ribosomal RNA is filed under the name uncultured Bacteroidota bacterium. RNAcentral's name for it is "uncultured Bacteroidetes bacterium partial 16S ribosomal RNA". It matches the Rfam family "Bacterial small subunit ribosomal RNA", at positions 121 to 306 of the family's 1533-position model. Lineage: Bacteria; Pseudomonadati; Bacteroidota. The record is from RNAcentral.